GACAGAGGUGCCGAGCGUUAGGCGGAAUCACUGGGCUUAAAGCGUGUGUAGGCGGGUGCCUAAGUACCUUGUGAAAUCCCCCGGCUCAACCGGGGAACGGCUGGGUAUACUGGCGGUCUUGAGCCAUCCAGGGGCAGUCGGAACAGACGGUGGAGCGGUGAAAUGCGUAGAUAUCGUCUGGAACGCCGAAGGUGAAAACAGACUGCUGGGGAUGCGCUGACGCUGAGACACGAAAGCCAGGGGAGCGAACGGG
RNAcentral lists this ribosomal RNA (253 nucleotides) under uncultured bacterium. RNAcentral describes it as "partial 16S ribosomal RNA". It matches the Rfam family "Bacterial small subunit ribosomal RNA", at positions 524 to 776 of the family's 1533-position model. The record is from RNAcentral.